UUCCGCGCCGGUUUCUCUCUCCUCGGGUUACCAUGGCGGAUCGCGCAUGCCGCUUUUCAAUCUGCUCUCGGAGGUGUCGGUGUUCGUGCUCACCCAUGGGCGCGGUGUUCUAGCCAUCUGAUUCUCGUCUUCCUGCUUUCCGCUUUUAUAUGUUCAGGCAUUGGCGGACCUUGGUAUCCGGAUGCUUGAUUGCUUCAUCCCCGAUAGGCACGUUCGCGGCUGAUCUUCUUGUUUAUCUCGGUAGAUUUUUUACGCAUUUUCUUUUGUGAUGUGAUUUGUGAUGCAGACGGAGGCCUUUUCUGGUUCCGCCGAGGGUUUCCGUGAGGUACUCAGUGAAUCGGAAAAUUGCUGGUGAUUAGUUGUUUGUUGAUUUUUAGAGAACCUCUCGAUCAGAUAUUUUACCUUUCAGCGUUCUCCAGAUCGAAGAAAUCGAGGAAGGGGAGAGCCAGUAACGGUGGGAACCGCUGCUGGAACGGCGUUGGUCUAGGUUUCACGGAGACCAACCCUAGAGAAGCCACUGAAGGUCCGGCGAAUUUCGUUUUUAUCUCAACUGGCGAUCAAUCCGUGCCUAUUCUAUGAUCUCGGUAAUAUCUUGACGACGGAUUUAUUCCGUACAGUCGAUGGACAUUUCCUGCCAAUUAUUCCUGCUUGAAUUUGAGCACGCAGUCUGAUGAUCAUACCGUACUCCCUCGCCGCAGAAGACGAAUCGUUUUCCAGCGUGUAAGGGAGAUUCAAGAGCAGCUGUCGUCUCCUGCCUGAGUACUGGUGUUCUUGGCUGGAUUAAGCUCGACAGACGCAACAGUAGAAAUAAGGUACUCUCUCUGCCUCCAUUGGAGGCGACGACCACCAUGCGAUCAUUAGAGUCUACCAUGUUCAAGACAGAAAACUCUCAGCAUGUCCGAAUCCCGAUCGGCGCCGAAGAGAAGAUCUCCCCACGUUCAUUACAGCGAGGCGGGCUGAGAUCUAUGGAGUGAGAGAGGGGGCCUGAGAUCGAUCAUCUUCCUGUGAAAAACUCCUGGUUUUUUACCAAACCAG
This 1035-nucleotide long non-coding RNA is filed under the name Spirodela polyrhiza (greater duckweed). RNAcentral's name for it is "long non-coding RNA (SPOL_LNC001725)". The record is from RNAcentral. Lineage: Eukaryota; Viridiplantae; Streptophyta; Magnoliopsida; Alismatales; Araceae.